AUGACGUCAAGUCAUCAUGGCCCUUAUGUCCAGGGCGACACACGUGCUACAAUGGCCGGCACAACGGGAAGCGAGUUCGCGAGGACGAGACGGAUCCCUCAAAGCCGGUCGCAGUUCGGAUUGAAGUCUGCAACCCGACUUCAUGAAGCUGGAAUCGCUAGUAAUCGUGGAUCAGCCAAGCCGCGGUGAAUACGUUCCCGGGCCUU
Molecule: ribosomal RNA, 206 nt
Filed under: uncultured Synergistaceae bacterium
Lineage: Bacteria; Thermotogati; Synergistota; Synergistia; Synergistales; Synergistaceae
Description: partial 16S ribosomal RNA
Rfam family: Bacterial small subunit ribosomal RNA
Source: RNAcentral